UUCCAGACUCCUACGGGAGGCAGCAGUGAGGAAUAUUGGUCAAUGGGCGAGAGCCUGAACCAGCCAAGUCGCGUGAGGGAAGACGGUCCUAUGGAUUGUAAACCCCUUUUGUCGGGGAGCAAAAAGGCCUCGUGAGGCCACAAGUGAGAGUACCCGAAGAAAAAGCAUCGGCUAACUCCGUGCCAGCAGCCGCGGUAAUACGGAGGAUGCGAGCGUUAUCCGGAUUUAUUGGGUUUAAAGGGUGCGUAGGCGGACUGGAAAGUCAGCGGUAAAAUCGUGGGGCUCAACCCCAUCCAGCCGUUGAAACUGGGGAUCUAGAGUGUGCGAGAGGUAUGCGGAAUGCGUGGUGUAGCGGUGAAAUGCAUAGAUAUCACGCAGAACCCCGAUUGCGAAGGCAGCAUACCGGUGCACAACUGACGCUCAGGCACGAAAGCGUGGGUAUCGAACAGGAUUAGAUACCCUCGUAA
Molecule: ribosomal RNA, 467 nt
Filed under: uncultured bacterium
Lineage: Bacteria
Description: bacterial SSU rRNA
Rfam family: Bacterial small subunit ribosomal RNA
Source: RNAcentral